RNAcentral lists this ribosomal RNA (468 nucleotides) under uncultured bacterium. RNAcentral describes it as "partial 16S ribosomal RNA". It matches the Rfam family "Bacterial small subunit ribosomal RNA", at positions 28 to 507 of the family's 1533-position model. The record is from RNAcentral.
GACGAACGCUGGCGGCGUGCUUAACACAUGCAAGUCGAACGGAAAGGCCCUGCGUUUGUGGGGUGCUCGAGUGGCGAACGGGUGAGUAACACGUGAGUAACCUGCCCUUGACUUUGGGAUAACUUCAGGAAACUGGGGCGAAUACCGGAUAGGAGCUCCUGCUGCAUGGUGGGGGUUGGAAAGUUUCGGCGGUUGGGGAUGGACUCGCGGCUUAUCAGCUUGUUGGUGGGGUAGUGGCUGACCAAGGCUUUGACGGGUAGCCGGCCUGAGAGGGUGACCGGCCACAUUGGGCCUGCGAUACGGCCCAGACUCCUACGGGCGGCAGCAGUGGGGAAUAUUGCACAAUGGGCGGAAGCCUGAUGCAGCAACGCCGCGUGCGGGAUGACGGCCUUCGGGUUGUAAACCGCUUUCGCCUGUGCCGAAGCGUGAGUGACGGUAAUGGGUAAAGAAGCACCGGCUAACUACGUG